This is a long non-coding RNA of Terrapene triunguis (Three-toed box turtle), 284 nucleotides long. RefSeq lists it as uncharacterized. The transcript has 3 exons. The record is from RefSeq and is a predicted model, not a curated record. Lineage: Eukaryota; Metazoa; Chordata; Testudines; Emydidae.
CGUCACCCUCACGGACUUGAAGGAGGCCGAGAAGACCAUUGGCCGAUCCGGGGAUGCCAGGGCCACCGAGCAGCGAAUCGGGGAGGACGAGAAGCGGGGCCGAGAAGGGGAGCAGCCGCUGGACACCACGGACUCGGCCCGGCGAUGCCGCACAGCCAACCCCGAGGACUCCUCGGUGUAUCCCGUGAAUCCCAUCGUGGUGAACUCUCAGGCAAAGAAAGCACCGGAGCCCGAGGGGCUGGGGCUGGGCUCCGAGGCGGAGGCCGAGCUGCGGAACCGGCUGG